Molecule: long non-coding RNA, 518 nt
Filed under: Sus scrofa (pig)
Lineage: Eukaryota; Metazoa; Chordata; Mammalia; Artiodactyla; Suidae
Description: lncRNA (ENSSSCG00030001772.1, ENSSSCG00040014911.1, ENSSSCG00060006963.1)
Source: RNAcentral
AUGAGUGUCCCUGUGGAACAAAGCUUGGGGUUUUGCAAAAUCCAGUCUCCAAGUCAAAGGAGUUCCUCCCUGGGCCUCAAGGUUGCAGCAGUGCAUAUUAAUGGGGGUGGUGGGGAGAGCCGGACAAAGGGGCUUCUCUGUGUUCCGGUGCCCAGUCUCUUUUUUGGGGACAGAGAGGACUUUGUUUUCUUACACUGGAGAAGGAAGCUUGGGUACAAGGUCACACCUGAACUGAAAAUGGAAAAAAAAAGUCUUAAGGUUCCUGAGCAAAAGAGAAAAGGAGGUUUGACCAUGAGGCUUGGAGAAGGGAGAAGGGCUGGGGAGUACGGCAAGCAUCAAAUUGGAUAUUUCUCUGGAAACACUGACAGUCUGAAUUCCCUCAAUCUGUGUCUCAAUCCCAAACUGAAAGGACCAUCUUCCUGAGGCUCUUGGUGAUGCUGACGCUACCAGUUUGAGGACCACACUUUGAGAAACAAGGUUCUAGACUUUGACCUUCACUGCACAGGCUUACAAGACUG